RNAcentral lists this transfer RNA (107 nucleotides) under Pseudozyma flocculosa. RNAcentral's name for it is "Anthracocystis flocculosa transfer RNA-Pseudo(CTC)". Lineage: Eukaryota; Fungi; Basidiomycota; Ustilaginomycetes; Ustilaginales; Ustilaginaceae. The record is from RNAcentral.
UCCUGGUUAGUACAAUGGUCAGUAUAGGACACUCUCACCUGCGCUUCUCUCCCUCCGAGGAUGUGGACGGUGCUGUUCAGAUCGGGGUUCGAUUCCCCGGCCGGGAA